AGAGUUUGAUCCUGGCUCAGAACGAACGCUGGCGGCGUGGAUAAGACAUGCAAGUCGAACGCGACUUAUCGGGUUAGCAAUAACUCGGUAAGUUGAGUGGCGAAAGGGUGCGUAACACGUGGGAAUUUACCAAGAAGUGGGGAAUAGCUCGGCGAAAGCCGAAUUAAUACCGCAUAUGAUCGCAAGAUCAAAGCCGGGGACCGCAAGGCCUGGCGCUUUUUGAGAAGCCCGCGGCCCAUCAGCUAGUUGGUGAGGUAACGGCUCACCAAGGCUAUGACGGGUAGCUGGUCUGAGAGGACGACCAGCCACACUGGAACUGAGACACGGUCCAGACACCUACGGGUGGCAGCAGUCGAGAAUUUUUCACAAUGGACGAAAGUCUGAUGGAGCGACGCCGCGUGGAGGAUGAAGGUUUUCGGAUUGUAAACUCCUGUCACUACAGAACAAGGGCGCAUCAGUUAACAGCCGGUGCGCUUGAUGGUAUGUGGAGAGGAAGGGACGGCUAACUCUGUGCCAGCAGCCGCGGUAAGACAGAGGUCCCGAGCGUUGUUCGGAUUCAUUGGGCGUAAAGGGUGUGUAGGAGGUCGGGUAAGUCAGGUGUGAAAUCUCAGAGCUUAACUCUGAAACUGCGCUUGAUACUGCCCGGCUAGAGGAUCGGAGGGGGUAACGGAAUUCAUGGUGUAGCAGUGAAAUGCGUAGAUAUCAUGAGGAACACCGGUGGCGAAGGCGGUUACCUGGAAGAUUCCUGACUCUGAAACACGAAAGCCAGGGGAGCAAACGGGAUUAGAUACCCUAGUAGUCC
RNAcentral lists this ribosomal RNA (802 nucleotides) under uncultured bacterium. RNAcentral's name for it is "bacterial SSU rRNA". It matches the Rfam family "Bacterial small subunit ribosomal RNA", at positions 8 to 796 of the family's 1533-position model. The record is from RNAcentral.